GCAGGCAGCCCACAGCCCUCUGACUCCCGGCCACGGCCGAGAUUCAAAGGGCUUUGGGCUGCCCGCAGAGCGCCCUGUGUGGGGGAUUUAGAAUUCCCCCACAGGCCGCACAGUGAGACUCUGCAGGCUGCAUGUU
Long non-coding RNA from Gopherus evgoodei (Goodes thornscrub tortoise), 136 nucleotides. RefSeq lists it as uncharacterized. The record is from RefSeq and is a predicted model, not a curated record. The transcript has 3 exons. Lineage: Eukaryota; Metazoa; Chordata; Testudines; Testudinidae.